UACGUAGGGCGCAAGCGUUGUCCGGAAUUAUUGGGCGUAAAGAGCUCGUAGGCGGUCUGUCGCGUCGGCUGUGAAAACUCGGGGCUCAACUCCGAGCUUGCAGUCGAUACGGGCAGGCUAGAGUUCGGCAGGGGAGACUGGAAUUCCUGGUGUAGCGGUGAAAUGCGCAGAUAUCAGGAGGAACACCGAUGGCGAAGGCAGGUCUCUGGGCCACUACUGACGCUGAGAAGCGAAAGCGUGGGGAGCAAACAGG
This 253-nucleotide ribosomal RNA is filed under the name uncultured bacterium. RNAcentral describes it as "partial 16S ribosomal RNA". It matches the Rfam family "Bacterial small subunit ribosomal RNA", at positions 524 to 776 of the family's 1533-position model. The record is from RNAcentral.